Molecule: ribosomal RNA, 460 nt
Filed under: uncultured bacterium
Lineage: Bacteria
Description: partial 16S ribosomal RNA
Rfam family: Bacterial small subunit ribosomal RNA
Source: RNAcentral
CCUACGGGAGGCUGCAGUGAGGAAUAUUGGUCAAUGGGCGGAAGCCUGAACCAGCCAAGUAGCGUGCAGGAAGAAGGAUCUAUGGUUUGUAAACUUCUUUUAUAGGGGAAUAAAGGUAUCCACGUGUGGAUAUUUGCAUGUACCCUAUGAAUAAGCAUCGGCUAACUCCGUGCCAGCAGCCGCGGUAAUACGGAGGAUGCGAGCGUUAUCCGGAUUUAUUGGGUUUAAAGGGUGCGUAGGUUGUUUUUUAAGUCAGCGGUGAAAGUUUGUGGCUCAACCAUAACAUUGCCGUUGAAACUGGAAGACUUGAGUGUGUUUGAGGUAGGCGGAAUGCGUGGUGUAGCGGUGAAAUGCAUAGAUAUCACGCAGAACUCCGAUUGCGAAGGCAGCUUACUAAGCCAUAACUGACACUGAAGCACGAAAGCGUGGGGAUCAAACAGGAUUAGAUACCCUUGUAGUC